RNAcentral lists this ribosomal RNA (423 nucleotides) under uncultured bacterium. RNAcentral describes it as "bacterial SSU rRNA". It matches the Rfam family "Bacterial small subunit ribosomal RNA", at positions 355 to 775 of the family's 1533-position model. The record is from RNAcentral.
UAAGGAAUAUUGGUCAAUGGAGGCAACUCUGAACCAGCCAUGCCGCGUGAAGGAUGAAGGUCCUCUGGAUUGUAAACUUCUUUUAUGUGGGAAGAAAUGCCUGUUUUUAAAUGGGUUUGACGGUACCAUAGGAAUAAGCACCGGCUAACUCCGUGCCAGCAGCCGCGGUAAUACGGAGGGUGCGAGCGUUAUCCGGAUUCACUGGGUUUAAAGGGUGCGUAGGUGGGAAUGAAAGUCAGUGGUGAAAUCUCUGAGCUUAACUCAGAAACUGCCAUUGAUACUAUGUUUCUUGAAUUUUCUGGAGGUCAGCGGAAUAUGUCAUGUAGCGGUGAAAUGCUUAGAUAUGACAUAGAACACCAAUUGCGAAGGCAGCUGGCUACAGGGAUAUUGACACUGAGGCACGAAAGCGUGGGGAUCAAACAG